Molecule: ribosomal RNA, 454 nt
Filed under: uncultured organism
Description: partial 16S ribosomal RNA
Rfam family: Bacterial small subunit ribosomal RNA
Source: RNAcentral
GUACACUCCUGCGGGAGGCAGCAGUGGGGAAUAUUGGACAAUGGGCGCAAGCCUGAUCCAGCCAUGCCGCGUGAGUGAUGAAGGCCCUAGGGUUGUAAAGCUCUUUCACCGGUGAAGAUAAUGACGGUAACCGGAGAAGAAGCCCCGGCUAACUUCGUGCCAGCAGCCGCGGUAAUACGAAGGGGGCUAGCGUUGUUCGGAUUUACUGGGCGUAAAGCGCACGUAGGCGGACUAUUAAGUCAGGGGUGAAAUCCCGGGGCUCAACCCCGGAACUGCCUUUGAUACUGGUAGUCUUGAGUUCGAGAGAGGUGAGUGGAAUUCCGAGUGUAGAGGUGAAAUUCGUAGAUAUUCGGAGGAACACCAGUGGCGAAGGCGGCUCACUGGCUCGAUACUGACUCUGAGGUGCGAAAGCGUGGGGAGCAAACAGGAUUAGAAACCCUAGUAGUCCCAUGAU